UCAGCAUACAAGUAUGACUUCACAGCAAACCUGAGUCCUAGCUGCGAACAGUCUUCUCUACAUGGCCAACCACGGGGACAGCCGGUGCCCAAGACCAAACAAGCUCAGAACAGUAGAAUGGGGAGAAGCCCAAAGCCAGGAGAACGAUGUGUUGUCAAAUGGACAAACAAGUCAAAAUUCCUUAAAGACUGAGAUCAUACACUGUCUGGAGUUUUUCUUCACCAACCCUGAGAAUCUCCCUGGUUUUCUAUCUUGAUGCUUUUAACACGAACAAGAGAAGAGAUUAAAACAAGAUGCAAAGCUCCGGUGAGAAGGACUGAAGUCCUUUCCCAGCUGAUCAGUGAACUAACAGAUGGAGAGAAGGUAGAAGAAAAGCCCUCCUUUCCUGUAGCCCAAUGACUGACUACCAGCAAACGAAAAAUAACUCUGGUAAUGUUUUCCCUGCUAAUUCUUGGCACAGUUUAUAUGAGUUGCUCAUCAGGUAAAAAUCAUUUUUUUUUCAUGAGCACUGAAACAGUAUUCAAGGUGACUUAACUACUGAAGUGACUUACUAUUCACACUCAUUUCAUUACCACUUUGUGCAUUGUAGCUGUAUUUAUGUCUCCUAGCUUAAGCUUAGAGAAGGUAUGUGCAUUGUAGUAUAACAUGGGGGAAGCACAGGCACAAAUUAACAGCACACAAGUUACUCCAUAAAAAGCAA
Molecule: long non-coding RNA, 700 nt
Organism: Rhea pennata
Lineage: Eukaryota; Metazoa; Chordata; Aves; Rheiformes; Rheidae
Exons: 3
Source: RefSeq, a predicted model, not a curated record